UGAACGCUGGCGGCGUGCCUAAUACAUGCAAGUCGAGCGAACAGACGAGGAGCUUGCUCCUCUGACGUUAGCGGCGGACGGGUGAGUAACACGUGGAUAACCUACCUAUAAGACUGGGAUAACUUCGGGAAACUGGAGCUAAUACCGGAUAAUAUAUUGAACCGCAUGGUUCAAUAGUGAAAGACGGUUUUGCUGUCACUUAUAGAUGGAUCCGCGCCGCAUUAGCUAGUUGGUAAGGUAACGGCUUACCAAGGCAACGAUGCGUAGCCGACCUGAGAGGGUGAUCGGCCACACUGGAACUGAGACACGGUCCAGACUCCUACGGGAGGCAGCAGUAGGGAAUCUUCCGCAAUGGGCGAAAGCCUGACGGAGCAACGCCGCGUGAGUGAUGAAGGUCUUCGGAUCGUAAAACUCUGUUAUUAGGGAAGAACAAAUGUGUAAGUAACUAUGCACGUCUUGACGGUACCUAAUCAGAAAGCCACGGCUAACUAC
This 492-nucleotide ribosomal RNA is filed under the name uncultured bacterium. Its description in RNAcentral is "bacterial SSU rRNA". It matches the Rfam family "Bacterial small subunit ribosomal RNA", at positions 30 to 504 of the family's 1533-position model. The record is from RNAcentral.